Molecule: ribosomal RNA, 492 nt
Filed under: uncultured bacterium
Lineage: Bacteria
Description: partial 16S ribosomal RNA
Rfam family: Bacterial small subunit ribosomal RNA
Source: RNAcentral
AGUGAACGCUGGCGGUAGGCCUAACACAUGCAAGUCGAACGGCAGCACAGUAAGAGCUUGCUCUUACGGGUUGCGAGUGGCGGACGGGUGAGGAAUACAUCGGGAUCUACUUUUUCGUGGGGGAUAAUGUAGGGAAACUUAAGCUAAUACCGCAUCUGCUCUACGGGUGAAAGCAUGGGAACUUCUGACCUUGCGGGAAUGAAUGAGCCGAUUACGGGUUAGCUGGUUGGGGGGGUAAAGACCCACGAAGGGGACGAUUCGUAGCUGGUCGGUGAGGCUGGUAGGCGACACUGGAACUGAGACACGGUCCAGACUCCUACGGGAGGCGGCAGUGUGGAAUAUUGGACAAUGGGCGCAAGCCUGACCCAGCCAUACCGCGUGGGUGAAGAAGGCCUUCGGGUUGUAAAGCCCUUUUGUUGGGAAAGAAAAGCAGCAGGUUGAUACCCCGCGGGUCUGACGGUACCCAAAGAAUAAGCACCGGCUAACUUCGUG